Molecule: ribosomal RNA, 465 nt
Filed under: uncultured bacterium
Lineage: Bacteria
Description: partial 16S ribosomal RNA
Rfam family: Bacterial small subunit ribosomal RNA
Source: RNAcentral
CCUACGGUGUGCAGCAGUGGGGAAUAUUGCGCAAUGGGCGAAAGCCUGACGCAGCGACGCCGCGUGAGGGAUGAAGGUCUUCGGAUCGUAAACCUCUGUCCGCAGGGAAGAACGGUCACUGUGCUAAUCAGCAGUGAAUUGACGGUACCUGCUAUGGAAGCACCGGCUAACUCCGUGCCAGCAGCCGCGGUAUUACGGAGGGUGCGAGCGUUAAUCGGAAUUACUGGGCGUAAAGCGUUCGUAGGCGGGAUGUCAAGUCAAGGGUGAAUUCCCCGCGCUCAACGUGGGAACGGCGUUUGAUACUGGCAAACUGGAGUGUGUGAGAGGAUAGUGGAAUUCCAGGUGUAGGAGUGAAAUCCGUAGAUAUCUGGAGGAACAUCAGUGGCGAAUGCGAGUAUCUGGCACAUAACUGACGCUGAGGAGCGAAGGCGAGGGUAGCAAACAGGAUUAGAUACCCGAGUAGUC